Molecule: non-coding RNA, 138 nt
Organism: Ornithorhynchus anatinus (platypus)
Lineage: Eukaryota; Metazoa; Chordata; Mammalia; Monotremata; Ornithorhynchidae
Source: Rfam
CCACUCUCAGGGUCACAGCUGGAGAGUUUCCAGUACUCUACCAGUCUUGGCUACAGGAGGGAGAGUCAAGCAAAGACAUACCCAUUCCAUUCCUAGCUUGGCCAGUGACUAGUGAGUGGAAGGCAAUCGGCUACAAGU